Molecule: ribosomal RNA, 492 nt
Filed under: uncultured bacterium
Lineage: Bacteria
Description: partial 16S ribosomal RNA
Rfam family: Bacterial small subunit ribosomal RNA
Source: RNAcentral
AGUGAACGCUGGCGGUAGGCCUAACACAUGCAAGUCGAACGGCAGCACAGUAAGAGCUUGCUCUUACGGGUGGCGAGUGGCGGACGGGUGAGGAAUACAUCGGAAUCUACUUUUUCGUGGGGGAUAAUGUAGGGAAACUUACGCUAAUACCGCAUACGACCUACGGGUGAAAGCAGGGGAUCUUCGGACCUUGCGCGAUUGAAUGAGCCGAUGUCGGAUUAGCUAGUUGGCGGGGUAAAGGCCCACCAAGGCGACGAUCCGUAGCUGGUCUGAGAGGAUGAUCAGCCACACUGGAACUGAGACACGGUCCAGACUCCUACGGGAGGCGGGAGUGGGGAAUAUUGGACGAUGGGCGCAAGCCUGAUCCAGCCAUACCGCGUGGGUGAAGAAGGCCUUCGGGUUGUAAAGCCCUUUUGUUGGGAAAGAAAAGCAGCAGGUUAAUACCCCGCUGUUCUGACGGUACCCAAAGAAUAAGCACCGGCUAACUUCGUG